UCUCAACCUUAGUACAAUUUUAUACUAGAUCUAGUACAAAGUUGAGAGACUUAUUUUGGGACGGAGGGAGUACAAUUUAAUUUGUGUAUGGUGUGGAUUCCAAAACUAAUCUGCUUCUACUGGAACACAACACUCGCUUGUACUAGAAUUUUUCUAAAGCUAAUGGAAUCUCCUUGUACUCCAUCUAAAGCUUUCAUGAUGAUUACUUUUCCAAGAUACAUGUGACAAAGAGGAGGAGCUCAGGGAGCUGAAUGUGAAAGGAUAAAGUAGUCAGGAAGGAGAAAUCAUAUGUUGGCUUAACUAAUGCUUCCUAAUUAGUAUGCUUUUUAUAUUGCCGUUUAUAUUAAACUAAUAUAGUUCGCUUUUGAUUAAGGAUCUUGACAUGGCACCUAGCUGUUUUUGAUUUCCUGUACUUUUUGUUGAUCUUCUCCUUCGGAUUAAAUUGCUCAUUGCUUUUCCUAUUCUUUUGCAGGAACAUGAACCUUAUGAUGACCCAUAGUUGGAUGUACGUGAGAGGAUGAACAUUCAGACAUCCUUGAUGACUGGGAUUCUAGGAAGACGAUCACAUACUCGACCAGCCCACCUGUAACCGCGAGACAAGCUAAAAGUGAAGCAACUACAGGAAAAAAAACAAAGGAACAUGCCCUUUUGAAAAAACAACAAAGGAUUCCUGGGCGAACCCUCACUUUUAAUGCAAGUUCACUUGACGACUAGCAUAUCUUUAUGUAGCAUUGGAAUGCUUGGAUGAAGUUGGAUGGGAGAUCUCCAUUCAGCUUUUAGAAGCCAUGAUUUUGUUUGGUUGGUUUGGUGGACAAUAUAGGUCUAUAUCCACUAAUGAUAGUUAUUUUUUAUUUCAACUAGCAGUUGUAACAAACAUUAUAUACCUUUGUAUGCAUUUUUGGUGUUCAGAUUUUGCUUUAGAAUAUUGGCUCACUGGCACUAAUAUUUUUAUGUGAGGCUGUUUUUUAAUCAUAAAAAUGUUAUCUUAUUUAUUAACAACCAAUGAGAACACCUAAUGGAUGGAAUAACAUAUAUUGUGGUCUGUAUGCAACAACAUGGCCACAAUUGUGUUUCACCUUUGAAACUGCAA
Hordeum vulgare subsp. vulgare (domesticated barley) is the source of this 1090-nucleotide long non-coding RNA. RefSeq lists it as uncharacterized. The transcript has 3 exons. Lineage: Eukaryota; Viridiplantae; Streptophyta; Magnoliopsida; Poales; Poaceae. The record is from RefSeq and is a predicted model, not a curated record.